Halichondria panicea is the source of this 179-nucleotide long non-coding RNA. RefSeq lists it as uncharacterized. Lineage: Eukaryota; Metazoa; Porifera; Demospongiae; Suberitida; Halichondriidae. The record is from RefSeq and is a predicted model, not a curated record. The transcript is spliced from 3 exons.
GCCCCAAUGGGUGUGGAGAGAGGUUGCCUAGGAGAGAGAUGCUCAAGCAUACUAAAACAGUGUGCACUCACCAAGUAAGAGACUGCGACUACAAAGACUUGGGGUGCACCUACAAGGGUACCAUCAAGGAACUAACGAAGCAUGCAAAGGAGUACCCCGCAUAUCACAAUCAACUACUG